This 1361-nucleotide ribosomal RNA is filed under the name uncultured bacterium. Its description in RNAcentral is "bacterial SSU rRNA". It matches the Rfam family "Bacterial small subunit ribosomal RNA", at positions 28 to 1381 of the family's 1533-position model. The record is from RNAcentral.
AUUGCACUCUGGCGGCAGGCCUAACACAUGCAAGUCGAGCGGUAGCACAUAGAGCUUGCUCUCGGGUGACGAGCGGCGGACGGGUGAGUAAUGUCUGGGAAACUGCCUGAUGGAGGGGGAUAACUACUGGAAACGGUAGCUAAUACCGCAUAACGUCGCAAGACCAAAGUGGGGGACCUUCGGGCCUCAUGCCAUCAGAUGUGCCCAGAUGGGAUUAGCUAGUAGGUGGGGUAACGGCUCACCUAGGCGACGAUCCCUAGCUGGUCUGAGAGGAUGACCAGCCACACUGGAACUGAGACACGGUCCAGACUCCUACGGGAGGCAGCAGUGGGGAAUAUUGCACAAUGGGCGCAAGCCUGAUGCAGCCAUGCCGCGUGUGUGAAGAAGGCCUUCGGGUUGUAAAGCACUUUCAGCGGGGAAGAAGGCGGUGAGGUUAAUAACCUUGUCGAUUGACGUUACCCGCAGAAGAAGCACCGGCUAACUCCGUGCCAGCAGCCGCGGUAAUACGGAGGGUGCAAGCGUUAAUCGGAAUUACUGGGCGUAAAGCGCACGCAGGCGGUCUGUCAAGUCGGAUGUGAAAUCCCCGGGCUCAACCUGGGAACUGCAUUCGAAACUGGCAGGCUAGAGUCUUGUAGAGGGGGGUAGAAUUCCAGGUGUAGCGGUGAAAUGCGUAGAGAUCUGGAGGAAUACCGGUGGCGAAGGCGGCCCCCUGGACAAAGACUGACGCUCAGGUGCGAAAGCGUGGGGAGCAAACAGGAUUAGAUACCCUGGUAGUCCACGCCGUAAACGAUGUCGAUUUGGAGGUUGUGCCCUUGAGGCGUGGCUUCCGGAGCUAACGCGUUAAAUCGACCGCCUGGGGAGUACGGCCGCAAGGUUAAAACUCAAAUGAAUUGACGGGGGCCCGCACAAGCGGUGGAGCAUGUGGUUUAAUUCGAUGCAACGCGAAGAACCUUACCUGGUCUUGACAUCCACAGAACUUUCCAGAGAUGGAUUGGUGCCUUCGGGAACUGUGAGACAGGUGCUGCAUGGCUGUCGUCAGCUCGUGUUGUGAAAUGUUGGGUUAAGUCCCGCAACGAGCGCAACCCUUAUCCUUUGUUGCCAGCGGUUAGGCCGGGAACUCAAAGGAGACUGCCAGUGAUAAACUGGAGGAAGGUGGGGAUGACGUCAAGUCAUCAUGGCCCUUACGACCAGGGCUACACACGUGCUACAAUGGCAUAUACAAAGAGAAGCGACCUCGCGAGAGCAAGCGGACCUCAUAAAGUAUGUCGUAGUCCGGAUUGGAGUCUGCAACUCGACUCCAUGAAGUCGGAAUCGCUAGUAAUCGUAGAUCAGAAUGCUACGGUGAAUACGUUCCCGGGCCU